CCUACGGGUGGCAGCAGUGAGGAAUAUUGGUCAAUGGUCGCGAGACUGAACCAGCCAAGCCGCGUGCAGGAUGAAGGUUCUGUGUGUUGUAAACUGCUUUUGUCAGAGGGUAAAGCCCGAUACGCGUCCCCGGUUGAGUGUACCUUACGAAUAAGCAUCGGCUAACUCCGUGCCAGCAGCCGCGGUAAUACGGAGGAUCCGAGCGUUAUCCGGAUUUAUUGGGUUUAAAGGGUGCGGAGGCGGUUUGUUAAGUUAGGGGUCAAAGGCCGGGGCUCAACCCCGACACGGCCUUUAAUACUGGUAGACUCGAGUAGGAGUGAGGUAGGCGGAAUGUGCGGUGUAGCGGUGAAAUGCUUAGAUAUCACACAGAACACCGAUUGCGAAGGCAGCAUGCCAGACUAAAACUGACGCUGAGGCACGAAAGCGUGGGUAGCAAACAGGAUUAGAUACCCGUGUAGUC
Molecule: ribosomal RNA, 460 nt
Filed under: uncultured bacterium
Lineage: Bacteria
Description: partial 16S ribosomal RNA
Rfam family: Bacterial small subunit ribosomal RNA
Source: RNAcentral